UGAGUAACGGCGAGCGAAAAGGGAAGAGCCCAGCGCCGAAGCCCGCUCUCGAGAGGGAGCCGGGCAAUGUGGCGUUUAGGAGUGAGCGUGCCGGCGGUCGACUCUGCAGCAAGUCCCCCUGACCGGGGCUGUUAACCCAGAGUGGGUGCGAGGCCCAUAGCUGCUAGGUCUCCGUCGGAUGCGAUCUCCUUGGAGUCGGGUUGCUUGGGAGUGCAGCCCUAAUCGGGUGGUAAACUCCACCUAAGGCUAAAUACUGCCGUGAGACCGAUAGCAAACAAGUACCGUGAGGGAAAGUUGCAAAGAACUUUGAAGAGAGAGUUCAAGAGUACGUGAAACUGCUCAGAGGCAAACGGGUGGGCCCUCGAAAUCCUGUGGCGGGAAGAUUCAGUCGAGUGGCGUGGACACUCGGUCGGAGAACGAACCAUGGCUCCGCGACAGGCGGCCUCUCCGAUCGUGUGCUUUCGCGCUGCGAGACGCAUUUGUUUCCCGUCCGAAGGACCCCGCAACCGGUUCGAAAGCGGCCACGAGGGUCGGAGACGGCAGUUGGCCGGUGGCGUUCCUCCGUGUUCGUCGUCGGUUGCUAGCCAUCCGGCCCAGGCUCGCGGGCGGACCGUGGCGACGCGAGGCCCUCUUGGGCUUCAUCGCCUCCUCCGUUCGCACGGAUGCCGGGAAUCUCCUGGCAGUGGUACGCACUGCUGCGGGCGCACGGACUGACUCCGUGGCCCAGCGGCAGCGAGCGUCUUCGAUGGCCGGGGGUAAGCCCGUCGGAGGUU
RNAcentral lists this ribosomal RNA (773 nucleotides) under Gasteracantha cancriformis. RNAcentral's name for it is "eukaryotic LSU rRNA". It matches the Rfam family "Eukaryotic large subunit ribosomal RNA", at positions 80 to 607 of the family's 3401-position model. The record is from RNAcentral. Lineage: Eukaryota; Metazoa; Arthropoda; Arachnida; Araneae; Araneidae.